RNAcentral lists this ribosomal RNA (470 nucleotides) under uncultured bacterium. Its description in RNAcentral is "bacterial SSU rRNA". It matches the Rfam family "Bacterial small subunit ribosomal RNA", at positions 38 to 507 of the family's 1533-position model. The record is from RNAcentral.
GGCGGCGUGCCUAACACAUGCAAGUCAACUUGAGGGAAGGAGCAAUCUGACCUGAUGGUGGCGCGAGGGUGCGUAACGCGUAAGUAACUUGCCCCAAGGUAAGGAAUAACGUCGAGAAAUCGGCGCUAAUACCUCAUAAUGCAGCGGAUCCGCAUGGAUAUGUUGUUAAAGGUUUACCGCCUUGGGAUAGGCUUGCGUCUGAUUAGCUAGUUGGUGUGGUAAUGGCACACCAAGGCUACGAUCAGUAACUGGUCUGAGAGGAUGAUCAGUCACACUGGAACUGAGACACGGUCCAGACUCCUACGGGAGGCAGCAGUGAGGAAUAUUGGGCAAUGCACGAAAGUGUGACCCAGCAACGCCGCGUGGAGGAUGAAGGUAUUCUAUAUCGUAAACUCCUGUGAGAGCAGACGAAAGACAGAUUAUUAAUUUGGAUGACUGUAUGCUCAGAGGAAGCCCCGGCUAACUACGUG